GCUGGCCCUGUGGUCUAGUGGUUAGAGCAGCUAGAGUCCACAUGGCCAACCAAGUAGUUUGAAUCUCAGCC
This 71-nucleotide microRNA precursor is filed under the name Tupaia belangeri (northern tree shrew). RNAcentral's name for it is "miRNA (ENSTBEG00000020666.1)". The record is from RNAcentral. Lineage: Eukaryota; Metazoa; Chordata; Mammalia; Scandentia; Tupaiidae.